RNAcentral lists this ribosomal RNA (465 nucleotides) under uncultured bacterium. RNAcentral's name for it is "bacterial SSU rRNA". It matches the Rfam family "Bacterial small subunit ribosomal RNA", at positions 338 to 795 of the family's 1533-position model. The record is from RNAcentral.
CCUACGGGAGGCAGCAGUGGGGAAUUUUGGACAAUGGGGGCAACCCUGAUCCAGCCAUUUCGCGUGUGCGAUGAAGGCCUUCGGGUUGUAAAGCACUUUUGGCAGGGAAGAAAAGGAUUGGGCUAAUACCCUGAUUCGCUGACGGUACCUGCAGAAUAAGCACCGGCUAACUACGUGCCAGCAGCCGCGGUAAUACGUAGGGUGCAAGCGUUAAUCGGAAUUACUGGGCGUAAAGCGUGCGCAGGCGGUUCGGAAAGAAGGAUGUGAAAUCCCAGGGCUUAACCUUGGAACUGCAUUUUUAACUACCGGACUAGAGUGUGUCAGAGGGAGGUGGAAUUCCGCGUGUAGCAGUGAAAUGCGUAGAGAUGCGGAGGAACACCGAUGGCGAAGGCAGCCUCCUGGGAUAACACUGACGCUCAGGCACGAAAGCGUGGGGAGCAAACAGGAUUAGAUACCCUUGUAGUC